RNAcentral lists this ribosomal RNA (435 nucleotides) under uncultured Oscillospiraceae bacterium. RNAcentral describes it as "partial 16S ribosomal RNA". It matches the Rfam family "Bacterial small subunit ribosomal RNA", at positions 341 to 792 of the family's 1533-position model. The record is from RNAcentral. Lineage: Bacteria; Bacillati; Bacillota; Clostridia; Eubacteriales; Oscillospiraceae.
ACGGGAGGCAGCAGUGGGGAAUAUUGGUCAAUGGGGGAAACCCUGAACCAGCGACGCCGCGUGAAGGAAGAAGGUUUUCGGAUUGUAAACUUCAGUCGGCAGGGACGAGGAAGGACGGUACCUGCAGAGGAAGCCACGGCUAACUACGUGCCAGCAGCCGCGGUAAUACGUAGGUGGCAAGCGUUGUCCGGAAUUACUGGGUGUAAAGGGUGCGUAGGCGGGGGCGCAAGUCAGAUGUGAAAGCUAUCGGCUCAACUGAUAAACUGCAUUUGAAACUGUGCUUCUUGAGUGUGGGAGAGGAUAGCGGAAUUCCUAGUGUAGCGGUGAAAUGCGUAGAUAUUAGGAGGAACACCAGUGGCGAAGGCGGCUAUCUGGACCAUAACUGACGCUGAGGCACGAAAGCGUGGGUAGCAAACAGGAUUAGAUACCCUGGUA